This 956-nucleotide ribosomal RNA is filed under the name uncultured bacterium. Its description in RNAcentral is "bacterial SSU rRNA". It matches the Rfam family "Bacterial small subunit ribosomal RNA", at positions 335 to 1323 of the family's 1533-position model. The record is from RNAcentral.
GCCCUUACGGGAGGCAGCAGCAAGGAAUUUUCGGCAAUGGGCGCAAGCCUGACCGAGCAACGCCGCGUGCGGGAUGACGGCCUUCGGGUUGUAAACCGCUUUUCGGGGGGACGAUGAUGACGGUACCCCCGGAACAAGCCCCGGCUAACUCUGUGCCAGCAGCCGCGGUAAGACAGAGGGGGCGAGCGUUGUCCGGAGUCACUGGGCGUAAAGCGCGCGCAGGCGGCAACCUCAGUGUCGUGUGAAAGCCCCCGGCUCAACCGGGGGAGGCCAUGGCAAACUGGGUCGCUCGAGCUGCGGAGAGGCCCCUCGAAUUGCCGGUGUAGCGGUGAAAUGCGUAGAGAUCGGCAGGAAGACCAAGGGGGAAGCCAGGGGGCUGGCCGCAGGCUGACGCUGAGGCGCGACAGCGUGGGGAGCAAACCGGAUUAGAUACCCGGGUAGUCCACGCCGUAAACGAUGACCACUCGGCGUGUGGCGACUAUUGACGUCGCGGCGCGCCCUAGCUCACGCGAUAAGUGGUCCGCCUGGGAACUACGAGCGCAAGCUUAAAACUCAAAGGAAUUGACGGGGGCCCGCACAAGCAGCGGAGCGUGUGGUUUAAUUCGACGCGACGCGAAGCACCUUACCCAGGCUUGACAUGCCGCUGCAAGCGUCGGAAACGGCGCUGCCUUCGAGGGUGCGGCACCGGUGCUGCAUGGCUGUCGUCAGCUCGUGUCGUGAGAUGUUGGGUUAAGUCCCGCAACGAGCGCAACCCGCGUCGGCAGUUACCCGUGUCUGCCGAGACAGCCGCCUUGAUGGGCGGAGGAAGGCGCGGAUGACGUCAAGUCAGCAUGGCCCUGACGCCUGGGGCGACACACACGCUACAAUGGCCAGGACAGUGCGUCGCGAGCCGGCAACGGUCAGCAAAUCGCCAAACCUGGNCCAGUGCAGAUCGGGGGCUGCAACUCGCCCCGUGA